RNAcentral lists this long non-coding RNA (474 nucleotides) under Zostera marina. Its description in RNAcentral is "long non-coding RNA (ZMAR_LNC001203)". The record is from RNAcentral. Lineage: Eukaryota; Viridiplantae; Streptophyta; Magnoliopsida; Alismatales; Zosteraceae.
UAUUUCGUGCCGUUCUUAUGGAAGUUACAGUGACAGAAAAUACACAGUCAUCUCAUCUUCAACAUCAUCAAGAGCUAGCAUGACAUCUUUCGUCCCCAAGCUAAUUUCAAACACCGACCAACAAUACAGUUCCAUAACGUCGACGGAGAAUACUAUCAAAAUGAUCACAAAUCACGGCGUUCACAUCAACAAACAAGUAUUGAGAAAAUUAUAGAGAAGUUAUAUCCAUACUUAUAUGGUGAAGCUCAAAAAACAACAUUAUCAGAAUCUUUGUCUGUAUCAGUUAAAUUAAACUAUGAAUUAUUAGUUUCACCUGAGAUGUUUUUGAAAGAGAACAAUAAACUUAUGAAGAAAGAUUUGAAGUACAGAAUAGUCGCAUCUACUAAAAUUUUCUUCUGGGGCGAUGAUGUUGAUGAUGAUGGCAAUAACAAUGAUCAGAAAAUGUGUGUAAUAUGUUUAAAUGACAUCAAAGAG